This is a non-coding RNA of Stygiomarasmius scandens, 85 nucleotides long. The record is from the annotation of a GenBank genome assembly. Lineage: Eukaryota; Fungi; Basidiomycota; Agaricomycetes; Agaricales; Campanellaceae.
GAUUUAGUAGUCGAUGUCUAGUGGUUAUGAUUUGUGUCUCACAGAUGUACACACAAGGUUCGCAGUUCGAUCCUGGGCUGAAUCA